UACGUAGGGGGCAAGCGUUGUCCGGAAUCAUUGGGCGUAAAGAGCGUGUAGGCGGCCCGAUAAGUCCGCCGUGAAAGUCCAGGGCUCAACCCUGGAAUGCCGGUGGAAACUGUCGGGCUGGAGUCCGGAAGAGGCGAGUGGAAUUCCUGGUGUAGCGGUGAAAUGCGCAGAUAUCAGGAGGAACACCAAUGGCGAAGGCAGCUUGCUGGGACGGUACUGACGCUGAGGCGCGAAAGCGUGGGGAGCAAACAGG
Molecule: ribosomal RNA, 253 nt
Filed under: uncultured bacterium
Lineage: Bacteria
Description: partial 16S ribosomal RNA
Rfam family: Bacterial small subunit ribosomal RNA
Source: RNAcentral